Molecule: small nucleolar RNA, 102 nt
Filed under: Cervus hanglu yarkandensis (Yarkand deer)
Lineage: Eukaryota; Metazoa; Chordata; Mammalia; Artiodactyla; Cervidae
Description: Small nucleolar RNA U3 (ENSCHYG00000024614.1)
Rfam family: Small nucleolar RNA U3
About the family: Small nucleolar RNAs (snoRNAs) are involved in the processing and modification of rRNA in the nucleolus. There are two main classes of snoRNAs: the box C/D class, and the box H/ACA class.
Source: Rfam by way of RNAcentral
AAGGCUAUACUUUCAGGGAUCAUUUCUAUAGUUUGUUACUAGAGAAGUUUUUCAAGUUAAAAAGCAACCCCCUUGGAUGGGGAAAGUUGGGUGGAAACAGGU